CUUUUAGCUUAAAUUCAUAGUAUAUUUUUAGUUUGGAUAGGUGGGAGUGGAAAAUUCUCAGCUAUAAUCAAUAAAAACAUACAUUGGAAGAAGAUUUUGGAAGAGGAAAAAUAUAUAUUGCACAAGACUCAAAAUUUCUCUAAGCUUAAGGACAAGUGCAGAACUAUGGUGCAUAUGUGAUUAGUAAGUUCUUUCACUAUAAUAUCUCUACAAAUAUUUUGAAGUGGCAACAUAGUAGUGUGAAUAAAUUUUCAGCAACAAUCAAUAAAAACAUAUAUUGGAGGAAGAUUUUGGAGACUGGAGAAGAAUGUACAUUCCACAAGGGUGAUUCUUCUAAACUUAAGGACAAGUGAAGUAACAUGGUGUAUAUGUGAUUAGUAAGUCUUUUCACUAUAAUAUCUUUAGAAACCUUUUAAAGUGACAACACAUUAGUGUGAAGAAACUUUCAGCUACAAUCAAUAAACACAUAUGUUGGAGGCAAAAUUUAGAGAUGUGAAAAGGUAUAUUCCACCUUGUAAUUCCUCUUAGCUUAAGGACAAGUGGAGAACCAUGGUGCAUAAGUGAUUAAUAAGUUUUUUCACUAUAAUAUCUCUAGAAAUAUUUUGAAGUGGCAAAAUAGUAGUGUGAAUAAAUUUUUAGCUACAAUCAAUAAAAACAUACAUUAGAGGAAGAUUUUGAAGACUGGAGAAGGUACAUUCCACAUGAUUCCUAAUUAUUUUGAUGUGACAACACAUUACUGUGAAGAAACUUUCAGCUACAAUCAAUAAAAACAUACGUUGAAGGCAGAUUUUGGAGAUGGAAAAAGGUAUAUUUCAGAAGACUUAUAAUUCCUUUGAGUUUAAGGACAAGUGGAGAAACAUGGUGCAUAUGUGAUAAAUCACUAUAAUAUCUUUAGAAA
RNA transcript from Arabidopsis thaliana (thale cress), 898 nucleotides. RefSeq lists it as uncharacterized. The transcript has a single exon. The record is from RefSeq. Lineage: Eukaryota; Viridiplantae; Streptophyta; Magnoliopsida; Brassicales; Brassicaceae.